GUGGGGAAUAUUGGGCAAUGGGCGAAAGCCUGACCCAGCAACGCCGCGUGAAGGAAGAAGGUCUUCGGAUCGUAAACUUCUAUCCUUGGUGAAGAUAAUGACGGUAGCCAAGAAGGAAGCCCCGGCUAACUACGUGCCAGCAGCCGCGGUAAUACGUAGGGGGCAAGCGUUGUCCGGAAUGAUUGGGCGUAAAGGGCGCGUAGGCGGCCUGGUAAGUCUGGAGUGAAAGUCCUGCUUUUAAGGUGGGAAUUGCUUUGGAAACUGUCGGGCUUGAGUGCAGGCGAAGUAAGCGGAAUUCCCGGUGUAGCGGUGAAAUGCGUAGAGAUCGGGAGGAACACCAGUGGCGAAGGCGGCUUACUGGACUGUAACUGACGCUGAGGCGCGAAAGUGUGGGGAGCAAACAGGAUUAGAAACCCUAGUAGUCC
RNAcentral lists this ribosomal RNA (425 nucleotides) under uncultured bacterium. RNAcentral's name for it is "partial 16S ribosomal RNA". It matches the Rfam family "Bacterial small subunit ribosomal RNA", at positions 354 to 796 of the family's 1533-position model. The record is from RNAcentral.